RNAcentral lists this ribosomal RNA (253 nucleotides) under uncultured prokaryote. RNAcentral's name for it is "partial 16S ribosomal RNA". It matches the Rfam family "Bacterial small subunit ribosomal RNA", at positions 524 to 776 of the family's 1533-position model. RNAcentral also lists the same sequence under 1 other name. The record is from RNAcentral.
UACGGAGGGAGCGAGCGUUAAUCGGAAUUACUGGGCGUAAAGCGCGCGUAGGCGGCUUUGUAAGUCGGAUGUGAAAGCCCUGGGCUCAACCUGGGAAUUGCAUUCGAUACUGCAGAGCUAGAGUAUGGUAGAGGGAAGUGGAAUUUCCGGUGUAGCGGUGAAAUGCGUAGAUAUCGGAAGGAACACCAGUGGCGAAGGCGACUUCCUGGGCCAAUACUGACGCUGAGGUGCGAAAGCGUGGGGAGCAAACAGG